RNAcentral lists this ribosomal RNA (433 nucleotides) under uncultured bacterium. RNAcentral describes it as "partial 16S ribosomal RNA". It matches the Rfam family "Bacterial small subunit ribosomal RNA", at positions 29 to 507 of the family's 1533-position model. The record is from RNAcentral.
AACGAACGCUGGCGGCAUGCCUAACACAUGCAAGUCGAACGAGACCUUCGGGUCUAGUGGCGCUCGGGUGCGUAACGCGUGGGAACCUGCCUUUAGGUUCGGAAUAACUCAGAGAAAUUUGAGCUAAUACCGGAUGAUGUCUUCGGACCAAAGAUUUAUCGCCUUUAGAUGGGCCCGCGUUGGAUUAGCUAGUUGGUGGGGUAAAGGCCUACCAAGGCGACGAUCCAUAGCUGGUCUGAGAGGAUGAUCAGCCACACUGGGACUGAGACACGGCCCAGACUCCUACGGGAGGCAGCAGUGGGGAAUAUUGGACAAUGGGCGAAAGCCUGAUCCAGCAAUGCCGCGUGAGUGAUGAAGGCCUUAGGGUUGUAAAGCUCUUUUACCCGAGAUGAUAAUGACAGUAUCGGGAGAAUAAGCUCCGGCUAACUCCGUG